RNAcentral lists this ribosomal RNA (460 nucleotides) under uncultured bacterium. Its description in RNAcentral is "partial 16S ribosomal RNA". It matches the Rfam family "Bacterial small subunit ribosomal RNA", at positions 338 to 795 of the family's 1533-position model. The record is from RNAcentral.
CCUACGGGUGGCAGCAGUGAGGAAUAUUGGUCAAUGGCCGGAAGGCUGAACCAGCCAUGCCGCGUGAAGGUCAGUGCCCUAUGGGCGUUAAACUUCUUUUGUGCGGGAGCAAUAAUGGUCACGUGUGGCCAGACGAGAGUACCGUACGAAUAAGCAUCGGCUAACUCCGUGCCAGCAGCCGCGGUAAUACGGGGGAUGCAAGCGUUAUCCGGAUUUAUUGGGUUUAAAGGGUGCGUAGGCUGUGCGGUAAGUCAGCGGUGAAAUGCCCCCGCUCACCGGGGUGAAGUGCCAUUGAUACUGCCUGGCUGGAAUGCGGAUGCCGUGGGAGGAAUGUGUGGUGUAGCGGUGAAAUGCAUAGAUAUCACACAGAACACCGAUUGCGAAGGCAUCUCACGAAUCCGCGAUUGACGCUGAUGCACGAAAGCGUGGGUAUCAAACAGGAUUAGAUACCCCAGUAGUC